UUUUGUCUUGUUUUGUCUUGUCUUUUCCUUUUCUUUUCCUUUUCUUUUUUCUAUAUUUUUCCUAUAUUUUUUUCAAAUUCAAGGUUCAAGGUUCAAGGUUCAA
Molecule: non-coding RNA, 103 nt
Filed under: Aurantiochytrium limacinum
Lineage: Eukaryota; Bigyra; Thraustochytrida; Thraustochytriidae
Source: RNAcentral